GUAGUCCACGCGGUAAACGAUGUCAACUAGCCGUUGGAAGGGUAAUCCUUUUAGUGGCGCAGCUAACGCACUAAGUUGACCGCCUGGGGAGUACGGUCGCAAGAUUAAAACUCAAAUGAAUUGACGGGGGCCCGCACAAGCGGUGGAGCAUGUGGUUUAAUUCGACGCAACGCGAAGAACCUUACCUACUCUUGACAUCCAGAGAACUUGGCAGAGAUGCCUUGGUGCCUUCGGGAGCUCUGAGACAGGUGCUGCAUGGCUGUCGUCAGCUCGUGUCGUGAGAUGUUGGGUUAAGUCCCGUAACGAGCGCAACCCUUGUCCUUAUUUGCCAGCACAUUAUGGUGGGCACUCUAGGGAGACUGCCGGUGACAAACCGGA
Molecule: ribosomal RNA, 378 nt
Filed under: uncultured bacterium
Lineage: Bacteria
Description: bacterial SSU rRNA
Rfam family: Bacterial small subunit ribosomal RNA
Source: RNAcentral